Long non-coding RNA from Cygnus olor (mute swan), 812 nucleotides. RefSeq lists it as uncharacterized. The transcript has 3 exons. The record is from RefSeq and is a predicted model, not a curated record. Lineage: Eukaryota; Metazoa; Chordata; Aves; Anseriformes; Anatidae.
UCGUGGAAAUGCUGGGGGCUGUUUGCCCACCCGUGGCGGCGCUGCCAGCUCUCCUCUCCUGUGCCUGGGUACCUGCAGGAGCUCCUUGCUCUUCCCUCGAGAACAUGACGCCCGUUUUCCUCUCCACCACAGCUCAGGGACGCAGCCCUUUUGGCGAGCAGUUUUACCUGUGGGUGCUGGUGGCACUGGUUGUGCAAUGGGGGAUUGCCCUGGAGAAGUGUUCUCUGAACAGCCACAGUCGUGUCUCUCACCUCUCUGCCUUGCUCGAGCCCUCCUGGAGGCAGCCUGCUCUUCCUGGGAAGGAUUUGUGAAGCAAAACGUCAAACCAUGGAGGGUGCUUCGAAGGAAAGCCACCUGGAGGACAGAGGGGACAGCCAGCACCGCUGUCACGCACAGAUGUCUCGGACACCCGAGCGGGUUCAUCCACGCUGCGGUCGUGGAGCUGCCUGGGGACAGCUGGGAAGGGACAGAUCGCCUUUCAUCUCCAUCCUGUGCCUGGUUUAGUCAAGAAGGACACCGGUGCAUCUUCUGGGCCAUAAAUCACUCUAAUGGCUGGGGUUGGAGACUGCAGAUCUGGGCGCUGAGGUUGGGUUACGUGUGCCAGCGAUCACCUCUGCAGCAGGAAAGGCGUUCGUGCACGUGUACCCUGUGUAUGGGUGCGCACAGGAUAAAGCCGUUGAGUGGGCUCUGGCUAAAAAAUUAGGCUGUUUUCAUCCUGAGCUUUGUGCCUCGCGGCUGUUAUUCUGGCAGAGAGGAAUGGGAACGGCAACAGGCUCAUACUUACAACAGGGGAGUGACUGAGGCUUCAUCGA